This 131-nucleotide small RNA is filed under the name Citrobacter amalonaticus. Its description in RNAcentral is "RtT sRNA". It matches the Rfam family "RtT RNA". From Rfam's summary of the family: This family represents a bacterial cis-regulatory element known as RtT RNA. The exact function of RtT is unknown although it is thought that it may be involved in changing the cellular response in relation to amino acid starvation. RNAcentral also lists the same sequence under 5 other names. The record is from RNAcentral. Lineage: Bacteria; Pseudomonadati; Pseudomonadota; Gammaproteobacteria; Enterobacterales; Enterobacteriaceae.
AUUCUGCCCAUGCGGGGAAGGAUGAGAAGCUUCGAUUAAGGUUCGAUUCGAGCGUAGCGAGAAAGCGUUGCCGCAGGCAACGACCCGAAGGGCGAGGCGCAACGCGCCGAGUAAUCCUUCCCCCACCACCA